Molecule: ribosomal RNA, 1435 nt
Filed under: uncultured organism
Description: SSU rRNA
Rfam family: Bacterial small subunit ribosomal RNA
Source: RNAcentral
UCUACAGGCUUAACACAUGCAAGUCGAGGGGCAGCAUGGUCUUAGCUUGCUAAGGCCGAUGGCGACCGGCGCACGGGUGAGUAACGCGUAUCCAACCUGCCUUACACUCUUGGACAGCCUUCUGAAAGGGAGAUUAAUACAAGAUGUUAUCAUGAGUAAGCAUUUUCGCAUGAUUAAAGGUUUACCGGUGUAAGAUGGGGAUGCGUUCCAUUAGAUAGUAGGCGGGGUAACGGCCCACCUAGUCUUCGAUGGAUAGGGGUUCUGAGAGGAAGGUCCCCCACAUUGGAACUGAGACACGGUCCAAACUCCUACGGGAGGCAGCAGUGAGGAAUAUUGGUCAAUGGACGAGAGUCUGAACCAGCCAAGUAGCGUGAAGGAUGAAGGUUCUAUGGAUUGUAAACUUCUUUUAUACGGGAAUAAACGGAUCCACGUGUGGAUUUUUGCAUGUACCGUAUGAAUAAGGAUCGGCUAACUCCGUGCCAGCAGCCGCGGUAAUACGGAGGAUCCGAGCGUUAUCCGGAUUUAUUGGGUUUAAAGGGAGCGUAGAUGGGUUGUUAAGUCAGUUGUGAAAGUUUGCGGCUCAACCGUAAAAUUGCAAUUGAUACUGGCAGUCUUGAGUACAGUUGAGGUAGGCGGAAUUCGUGGUGUAGCGGUGAAAUGCUUAGAUAUCACGAAGAACUCCGAUUGCGAAGGCAGCUUACUAACCUGUAACUGACAUUGAUGCUCGAAAGUGUGGGUAUCAAACAGGAUUAGAUACCCUGGUAGUCCACACGGUAAACGAUGAAUACUCGCUGUAGGCGAUAUACAGUCUGCGGCCAAGCGAAAGCAUUAAGUAUUCCACCUGGGGAGUACGCCGGCAACGGUGAAACUCAAAGGAAUUGACGGGGGCCCGCACAAGCGGAGGAACAUGUGGUUUAAUUCGAUGAUACGCGAGGAACCUUACCCGGGCUUAAAUUGCAACCGAAUAUGGCGGAAACGCUAUAGCUAGCAAUAGCGGUUGUGAAGGUGCUGCAUGGUUGUCGUCAGCUCGUGCCGUGAGGUGUCGGCUUAAGUGCCAUAACGAGCGCAACCCUUGCCGAUAGUUACUAACAGGUUAUGCUGAGGACUCUGUCGGGACUGCCAUCGUAAGAUGUUAGGAAGGUGGGGAUGACGUCAAAUCAGCACGGCCCUUACGUCCGGGGCUACACACGUGUUACAAUGGGGGGUACAGAGGGCUGCUACCACGCAAGUGGAUGCCAAUCCCAAAAACCUCUCUCAGUUCGGAUUGAAGUCUGCAACCCGACUUCAUGAAGCUGGAUUCGCUAGUAAUCGCGCAUCAGCCACGGCGCGGUGAAUACGUUCCCGGGCCUUGUACACACCGCCCGUCAAGCCAUGGGAGCCGGGGGUACCUGAAGUGCGUAACCGCAAGGAGCGCCCUAGGGUAAAACUGGUGACU